CGUAGCAUAGCUUAAUUCAAAGCACCCCGCUUACACCGGGGAGAUACCUGCGAGACUCAGAUUGCUUCGA
RNAcentral lists this transfer RNA (70 nucleotides) under Fritziana fissilis (split-backed frog). RNAcentral describes it as "tRNA-Val". It matches the Rfam family "tRNA". From Rfam's summary of the family: Transfer RNA (tRNA) molecules are approximately 80 nucleotides in length. Their secondary structure includes four short double-helical elements and three loops (D, anti-codon, and T loops). Lineage: Eukaryota; Metazoa; Chordata; Amphibia; Anura; Hemiphractidae. The record is from RNAcentral.